This is a long non-coding RNA of Vidua macroura (Pin-tailed whydah), 364 nucleotides long. RefSeq lists it as uncharacterized. The record is from RefSeq and is a predicted model, not a curated record. Lineage: Eukaryota; Metazoa; Chordata; Aves; Passeriformes; Viduidae. The transcript is spliced from 2 exons.
GGCAGGGCUGGCCAGGCUGCUGCUGUGGCAGCAUGGCAGAAAUGCAACCAGCCACCCAUCGUCCUCCCUAUCCUUUGCCCUGUUCCUCCCUGCCCUCACCAACAGCCACUGCUGAUCUGCAUCAAUUCAUCUGCUGUUUUGGUGAGUGCCUACUGUGCACUCCAAUUAAUAGAAUUCCUUUAUUUUGCUGGAGAGAGUGCUGGAGCCCAUGCCACAAACAGCUUUGAAUACUCUGCAUCUCGCCUGCCUGUUUUCAAAAAGGUGACUGCUGAUGACAGCUAAGAUAACAAGAGAGUGGGUUUUGGGGUUUUUUUUUGCCUUCAUGAGAACACCUCCAGUUCUAUUAAUAAAAUCCUGAAUCUGA